AGAAUCAACGCUGGCGGCGUGCCUAACACAUGCAAGUCGAACGAGAAAGUGGGAGCAAUCCCAUGAGUAAAGUGGCGCACGGGUGAGUAACACGUGACUAACCUACCCUUGAGUGGGGGAUAACCUAGGGAAACCUGGGCUAAUACCGCAUAAUACCUACGGGUCAAAGGAGCAAUUCGCUUUAGGAGGGGGUCGCGGCAGAUUAGUUAGUUGGCGGGGUAAUGGCCCACCAAGACAGUGAUCUGUA
This 247-nucleotide ribosomal RNA is filed under the name uncultured bacterium. Its description in RNAcentral is "partial small subunit ribosomal RNA". It matches the Rfam family "Bacterial small subunit ribosomal RNA", at positions 26 to 285 of the family's 1533-position model. The record is from RNAcentral.